RNAcentral lists this ribosomal RNA (432 nucleotides) under uncultured bacterium. Its description in RNAcentral is "partial 16S ribosomal RNA". It matches the Rfam family "Bacterial small subunit ribosomal RNA", at positions 338 to 795 of the family's 1533-position model. The record is from RNAcentral.
CCUACGGGAGGCAGCAGUGGGGAAUAUUGGACAAUGGGGGCAACCCUGAUCCAGCCAUGCCGCGUGAAUGAUGAAGGCCUUCGGGUUGUAAAGUUCUUUUGGUGGGGAGGCGGUACCCACAGAAUAAGCUCCGGCUAACUUCGUGCCAGCAGCCGCGGUAAUACGAAGGGAGCUAGCGUUGUUCGGAAUUACUGGGCGUAAAGGGCGCGUAGGCGGUUUAAUAAGUUGGGUGUGAAAUCCCAGGGCUCAACCCUGGAACUGCACCCAAGACUGUUUUACUUGAAUUCGGUAGAGGAUGGUGGAAUUCCCAGUGUAGAGGUGAAAUUCGUAGAUAUUGGGAAGAAUAUCCGUGGCGAAGGCGGCCAUCUGGACCGAAUUGACGCUGAGGCGCGAAAGCGUGGGGAGCAAACAGGAUUAGAUACCCUUGUAGUC